Triticum aestivum (bread wheat) is the source of this 125-nucleotide non-coding RNA. The record is from Rfam. NCBI's taxonomy places the organism in Eukaryota, Viridiplantae, Streptophyta, Magnoliopsida, Poales, Poaceae.
UUUGUACUCCCUCCGUCCGGAAAUGCUUGUCGGAGAAAUGGAUAUAUCUAGACGUAUUUUAGUUCUAGAUCCAUUCAUAUUUGUACAUUUAUCCGACAAGUAUUUCCGGACAGAGGGAGUAGAAG